This 497-nucleotide ribosomal RNA is filed under the name uncultured bacterium. RNAcentral describes it as "partial 16S ribosomal RNA". It matches the Rfam family "Bacterial small subunit ribosomal RNA", at positions 28 to 507 of the family's 1533-position model. The record is from RNAcentral.
GAUGAACGCUGGCGGUGUGCCUAAUACAUGCAAGUCGAGCGAACGGACGAGAAGCUUGCUUUUCUGAUGUUAGCGGUGGACGGGUGAGUAACACGUGGAUAACCUACCUAUAAGACUGGGAUAACUUCGGGAAACCGGAGCUAAUACCGGAUAAUAUUUUGAACCGCAUGGUUCAAAAGUGAAAGACGGUCUUGCUGUCACUUAUAGAUGGAUCCGCGCUGCAUUAGCUAGUUGGUAAGGUAACGGCUUACCAAGGCAACGAUGCAUAGCCGACCUGAGAGGGUGAUCGGCCACACUGGAACUGAGACACGGUCCAGACUCCUACGGGAGGCAGCAGUAGGGAAUCUUCCGCAAUGGGCGAAAGCCUGACGGAGCAACGCCGCGUGAGUGAUGAAGGUCUUCGGAUCGUAAAACUCUGUUAUUAGGGAAGAACAUAUGUGUAAGUAACUGUGCACAUCUUGACGGUACCUAAUCAGAAAGCCACGGCUAACUACGUG